GGACAAUGUGCUUUCUCAAGUCUUUUCCAAUUCCACACCCCAUGACUGUGGAAAAGCAGAACAUCCAGGUAGUUGACAUGCCACAUUUUUAUGAUAGGGAGGUCCUUUCCUUCCACCCCAGAUCUUUCACUCUAUGUUUCUCUACAUCUUCGAAACCCAAGCAAUAGUCAAGUCCUAAUCGUGCCAUCAGCAGGACUCACUUAAACAAGAUGGAAGAGAAAGACAAAAAUUCUCCUUAAUCCCAGUUGAUAUGUGACUUUGCUUAGCACUUUGAAUAUUAUUAAGUGUUUGAAUUUCUUCCUGUGUCUUUUUCACCGAGAUGACUGUCUUUCUGUUUCGUUGACAGCCUCUGCAGGACCAAAUUGACAGCUCUUUAAAGGCGGCUGACGAAAAGCAGCAUUAAUUAAGUCAUUGCCGGACUGUAAUUGUGUUAAGAAGUAAAAAUCUAAUACGAGAAAAGAGUCAUUUACUGAGGACCCAAUGGCUUGUGUCCUGUGACGGAUGGAAGCUGGAGGCUUGCAAAUACCAACCAGGUCCUUCGUGUGAGCACACAGAGAGAACCAGCAACCCCCAUAUCCACUUGAAGGCACGUGCACGUUGUCCAGAAUCUCACCCCACUUCCAUCAGCCAUCACCUUCUGCCAAGAAAGUGAUCCUUGUGCAGUUUCUGUGCCUGAUGUAACUGUUUCCAUAUUCACUUGGCUUCCUAAUUGGGCCUCGUACCUUUUGGAGAAAAAAAUUGAGGUUGCCGCCAGCUUGGCAGAAGCUAAAGUGAGAAGCCAUGCAGAUAUGGUUUCUGAAGAAGCAAUUGAUUUGUUUCACACACUACCUACCUUCCUUGAAAAUUAAAAAAGCUCACCGACAAAGUGGCAAUUGGUCAGGACCUCAGGAGGGCGAAAAUACAAAAAAAAAAAUUAAUUUCAAACUGUGAAACUCAGCCAGUGAGAGCUAAUAGCCUCACUCCCGACACACAGCAUUCACCUUCUAGUAGACUCAACACAGCCUUGGUGUGGGUGCGUCUGCUGAUUUUUUUCCUUUUUUCUUUUUUUUAAUUGGGGGAAAUCUGUGAAGUCAUAUUCCUCUUACCUGGAUUUCAUCACUCCCCCUACAUGGACUAAACGUCAUCAACGUCUUCCUAAAGGACAGUUUGCAAACCCCGUCUCCCAUUAUUUCUCCUACCACUCUUCUACCGUGGAGCAGACAACAGUUGUUCCCACAGUUCUCUCUAAUGGUGGAAACAUAGUAAUUAACCACAUCCUCUCAAAUGUUGGUUGAAUGGCUGGCCCCUAAUUUGUCUACUUUCUGCAGAGGUUUCAGUGUCUCAUGAAAUUUAUUGCCAUACUAAAGUCACCUUUUAAAUUAUGGAUCAUGAUAUUGUUAUGCUGCUAAAAAUGUUCACAGCAUUGUAAUUUUAUGCACUGG
RNAcentral lists this long non-coding RNA (1421 nucleotides) under Homo sapiens (human). RNAcentral describes it as "long non-coding RNA NONHSAT188958.1". Lineage: Eukaryota; Metazoa; Chordata; Mammalia; Primates; Hominidae. The record is from RNAcentral.